RNAcentral lists this ribosomal RNA (253 nucleotides) under uncultured bacterium. RNAcentral's name for it is "partial 16S ribosomal RNA". It matches the Rfam family "Bacterial small subunit ribosomal RNA", at positions 524 to 776 of the family's 1533-position model. The record is from RNAcentral.
UACGUAGGGUGCGAGCGUUAAUCGGAAUUACUGGGCGUAAAGCGUGCGCAGGCGGUUCGUUGUGUCGGCGGUGAAAGCCCCGGGCUUAACCUGGGAAUGGCCGUCGAAACUGGCGAACUGGAGUGUGGCAGAGGGGGGUGGAAUUCCGCGUGUAGCAGUGAAAUGCGCAGAUAUCAGGAGGAACACCGGUGGCGAAGGCGGAUCUCUGGGCCAUUACUGACGCUGAGGAGCGAAAGCGUGGGGAGCGAACAGG